AGAGGUAGUAACUGGCCUUUAUUUGACGGUAAUCAACCAGAAAGUCACGGCUAACUACGUGCCAGCAGCCGCGGUAAUACGUAGGUGGCAAGCGUUGUCCGGAUUUAUUGGGCGUAAAGCGAGCGCAGGCGGAAGAAUAAGUCUGAUGUGAAAGCCCUCGGCUUAACCGAGGAACUGCAUCGGAAACUGUCGAACUAGAGUGUCGGAGAGGUGAGUGGAAUUCCUAGUGUAGCGGUGAAAUGCGUAGAUAUUAGGAGGAACACCAGUGGCGAAGGCGGCUCACUGGACGAUAACUGACGUUGAGGCUCGAAAGCGUGGGGAGCAAACAGGAUUAGAUACCCUGGUAGUCCACGCCGUAAACGAUGUGUACUAGGUGUUGGGGAGCAAAGCUCUUCGGUGCCGUCGCAAACGCAGUAAGUACACCACCUGGGGAGUACGUUCGCAAGAAUGAAACUCAAAGGAAU
RNAcentral lists this ribosomal RNA (464 nucleotides) under uncultured bacterium. RNAcentral describes it as "bacterial SSU rRNA". It matches the Rfam family "Bacterial small subunit ribosomal RNA", at positions 446 to 910 of the family's 1533-position model. The record is from RNAcentral.